Molecule: RNA transcript, 917 nt
Organism: Cynocephalus volans (Philippine flying lemur)
Lineage: Eukaryota; Metazoa; Chordata; Mammalia; Dermoptera; Cynocephalidae
Gene name: cytochrome c oxidase assembly protein COX19
Exons: 5
Source: RefSeq, a predicted model, not a curated record
GGCCGUCUUGCGUGCGCUGACGCCGGCUCGCAGGCUCCCGCCCCGCAGUUAUGUCUACCGCUAUGAACUUCGGGACCAAGAGCUUCCAGCCGCGGCCCCCGGACAAGGGCAGCUUCCCGCUGGAUCACUUCGGUGAAUGUAAAAGUUUUAAAGAGAAAUUUAUGAAGUGUCUCCGUGACAAUAAUUUUGAAAAUGCUUUGUGCAGAAAUGAGUCAAAAGAAUACUUAGAAUGCAGAAUGGAGAGGCAACUGAUGGCACAAGAACCACUGGAGAAACUGGGAUUUGGAGAUUUGAUAGAUGGAAAAGCAGAGGCAAAAAAUAAGUUUUGAUGAGAGGAAGACCACCAGGCUGUGCUCGGGGGCUGCUCGGGACAGAGCACACUGCACCACUUCCUGCGCCCCGAAGACCUGCGUGUCUUCCUUAGAAACACUGUCAGGAUGCCCUUGAGACGCUCCACAUGACGUUCAGAACUGCUUGUAAUUACAAAAUAUUGAAGCAACUGAAAUGCCCUCAUAUACACGAGUGCUGUAUAAACUGGCACAUCUGCACUGUGGAGUACCGUGCAGCUACAGGAAAGAAAGAGGGGGAAAAAGAAAGGUUCCAAGAAUUAGGACGUGGGCAUCUUUGGGGACAUUACUCUGCCCUCCACACUUCCCAGAUUGCAAAGAACAUCAGCAGUGAUUCUCAAGCUCGACUGACUCUAAGAGAAGCACCUGAGCAAUAGUAAGUGUCCUGGUGUGUAGGACCCUGAGGCCCACCCGGGACUGCUGCAAUAGUGUGCAAUUCAACCCAUGUGCAUGCCCCAAAGGAAGUCCGAUGACCUCUUUCAGGGGACACAGGUGUUUUAGGGUAACUGGCAGGCUUCUCUUAAUCAUCUGUAGCAAUCAAAUGGAUAGAAUUUUCUUGGCUGAGUUUUA